AACGAACGCUGGCGGCGUGCCUAACACAUGCAAGUCGUGCGAGAAAGUUCCUUCGGGAGCGAGUAAAGCGGCGCACGGGUGAGUAACACGUAGGUAACCUGCCCCCCAGUCUGGAACAACUAGAGGAAACUCUAGCUAAUGCCGGAUGAGACCACGAUCCCUUCGGGGGUUGCGGCCAAAGAUGGCCUCUACUUGUAAGCUAUCGCUGAGGGAUGGGCCUGCGGGCCAUUAGCUUUGUUGGUGAGGUAACGGCUCACCAAGGCUGUGAUGGCUAGCUGGUCUGAGAGGAUGACCAGCCACACUGGGACUGAGACACGGCCCAGACUCCUACGGGAGGCAGCAGUGGGGAAUAUUGCGCAAUGGGCGAAAGCCU
RNAcentral lists this ribosomal RNA (373 nucleotides) under uncultured bacterium. RNAcentral's name for it is "bacterial SSU rRNA". It matches the Rfam family "Bacterial small subunit ribosomal RNA", at positions 29 to 384 of the family's 1533-position model. The record is from RNAcentral.